This 388-nucleotide long non-coding RNA is filed under the name Capra hircus (goat). Its description in RNAcentral is "lncRNA (ENSCHIG00010008835.1)". Lineage: Eukaryota; Metazoa; Chordata; Mammalia; Artiodactyla; Bovidae. The record is from RNAcentral.
AAACAUGACUCCUGUCCACCUGGAGCUCACCUGUGGUCUUAAAAGGGGGUGUGGGACAUUAGCCCAAGCUCUGUGACCAGCCUCAUAUUCCUGUUUUGGAUCAACCACCCAGAUGCCAGUGCACUAGUGUAACAGGGGAGGGGUGUCCUAACAAGGGCCCCAUACUACCUCUCAAUCUGGACAAAGGGCACCAAACCUACUCCAAAAUGGAAAUAUUUUCUCUCCCACCCAUUUAGAAGACCUCUGAGCAUUUUACAGACUCCUAUCCUGAACUGUGAGUAUCAUACAGCUCUGAGGAUGGUGUGUUGUUUUGAACUCUUUGGUUUUUAAGACACUGAAGUAAACAUUUUCAUAGGCUGGCCCUGACCACUUUCUGCCAGACCUGGCA